Molecule: ribosomal RNA, 278 nt
Filed under: uncultured bacterium
Lineage: Bacteria
Description: partial 16S ribosomal RNA
Rfam family: Bacterial small subunit ribosomal RNA
Source: RNAcentral
UGCCAGCCGCCGCGGUAAGACGGAGGGUCCUAGCGUUGUUCGGAAUGACUGGGCGUAAAGGGUACGUAGGCGGUUUGGUCAGUUAGAUGUGAAAGCCCAGGGCUCAACCUUGGAACUGCAUUUAAUACUGCCUGACUUGAGAUCGGAAGAGGAAAGCGGAAUUUCUAGUGUAGAGGUGAAAUUCGUAGAUAUAGGAAGAACACCAGUGGCGAAGGCGGCUAACUGGCUCGGUACUGACGCUGAGAUGCGAAAGCGUGGGGAGCAAACAGGAUUAGAUA